This is a long non-coding RNA of Planococcus citri (citrus mealybug), 2488 nucleotides long. RefSeq lists it as uncharacterized. The record is from RefSeq and is a predicted model, not a curated record. The transcript is spliced from 3 exons. Lineage: Eukaryota; Metazoa; Arthropoda; Insecta; Hemiptera; Pseudococcidae.
UGAGUAGUUGCAAUGGGUAUGAAAUGUACCUAAUAAUAAUGAAGCAUUUUUUUGGUUGGAACAUUUAAACUUUCAACACUGGAAUAAGUUGAACUAAUAAAAAUAGAAUGUUCGAGUAACUAAGAACGCAGCAACGGUUGGAAAAGUAAAAUCGUCAGGCACCUACAGAUAGAUUGAAAUUAUAUGAUAAAUAUGAAUGAAGAAUCGAGAAAACAGUACCUAAUCUGAAUUCAGAUCCGGUAAAAUACAUGUGUACUUACUACUAAAACAUAUAUACGAAUAAUUUUCGCCGUAAAUAUAACAGCUACUUUUCAAGGUUAAAGUAGGUACACAGUACACAUCAUUUAUUUUGAAAUAAUAGCACAGCUUUGAAUUUAGAUUUAGGUACCUAGCUGAGCUACCUACCCCAAUACAGGAAAUUAUAACACUCAUUCGCUUGGAAAAUGAAGAAAAAAUUUUAAUAACAUAGGCUAAUCACAAUCAAAGACCUUCGAAUGAAAAUUAGAAUAAGCACAGACAGACGGCUAAUUAUACUAGUACAGAGUAGAAUUAGGUAAGUAGCUGAAACAACUGCAGCUCAUCUACUUGAAUGGAGAUGAUAACAGCUGAUAACACAAUAUUCCAACUUCAUUUGUUCGCCUGUUAUUCCAUUAAAUUGAUGCGAAGUCUGUGGCAACAGUGAACAGAUAGGUACCUACCAGUUACCAGUACAUAAACUCGAAUGAAAAAUGCUUCCAAAAAAAAGUGAAUCCAUGCACAUUGCACAGAUUUGAAAGAAUAUUUUAUGGACGCCUACGAGUGUAUAGGUACAAUAUUUACUCAGCUGGCAGCCAGUUUUCAUUUUAACCUGCGAUAGGCCUAUGACCUAUGUAAUGGCUGUGCUUCCAUAUCCAUACUUAUCUCAUUAGCAAACGAUAACAUUAACGUAAGUACAUAUUUAAUAUGUUCGAAACAGGAACAAAUUAUCGUCGUUGUAAAAUUACAAAUGAAUACUAAUAUGAUCAAAUGUAAUCCAGAGAUGACUUCUCUCGUCUAUCUAUUAUUUUUUUUUUAUCCGACGAAUUAUACCUAUAUACCUGCGGAACUGUAAAAAUGAAUCAUAAUCUUAUACGAUGCAACUGUUACGUCAAUAGAUAGGUAAAUUGCUAAUGUACGUUUUCAUCCAGCUAUAGAUAUUCAUCUGGGUAUUAAUAAGAUAUACCUAUAAACAAUGUCUAAUAUUACCAAAAUUCCUUAGGCACUUUAAACGUUUAGAAAAUCGUUAGUAGGUAAAAAAAAAUCUUAUUCAAUAGUGGAAAAUUUAUAAUUAAAAAACAAGAUUUGUGUAAUUAUAAUUUAUACAUACGAUACAACAGAUUGACCAGUAAGAUUUGCGGAUAGCUUAGACGUUUGAUAGUUCCUUCUUUUUUUUUUCAUCAUAACAUGCUCUGAAUUCUGUAGUAAAAACAUUAGCAAGGUAUUUAGGUACCUACCUAUGAACUGUUUUUGUGAAUGAUGAUGAUUAGGCGUACCUACCUACUUCACACAAAUUAAUAGUAGCCUUGAUAAAAUUACGUUUUUGGAUUUAAAAAAAAUAAAAAUAAAAAUAUAUUUAAACUCAAGUACUCGAGUAAGAUUUUAAAAAUAAUUUUCAACGCAAAAUAAUUUGAUCAAAAAUUUUCUUUGAAAAGUACCUACUCGUACGUACACAGAUAUCUAACGUUUUGCCUGAAAGAAUUCCACAGGCAAUCGUUACACAUUUUAUCCUCGUAGGGGCCACAUUCAUUAAAGUACAAAUACUUAGCACUGGUUUUUAAUGUUAACCCUGUCUGUAUUUAUAAUACAGCUUACGUUAGAUUAGAUGUAUUACGACGUAUGUAUUACAUAUUUAUAAAGCAUACAUUGACAUAAUGUGAGAGUUUAAGGAACCUACGUAGUACUUACCUAUAUGAAACAAUCCAUAUAGUGAAACAUAAUACAUGUACCUUAUAUACAAGGCUUUGCUGUGAGAAAAAAAGCUGUCCAGAUGACCUACGCAUGUUUUUCUUCAAGUUCAACGUCUAUGUGAUACGUUUACGUUGAUGCAUCAAGAAUUCAUCACAUAGCCAUUGAAAACACCCAAAAGUACAUUCGAAUACAUAACUCAAUAUUGAAAUUGACAUUAUUUUCCAACCUUCAGCCUCUCCAUGUUCAGUAUUAUCAUCAUCGACGUCGACAAGAUGUUUAAGUUUGCGAAACGACUGGAAGCUGCAUGCGUUUGGUUGAUUCAUUGAAGAAAUCAAGGUUACAAAUAUGUACUAGAGCCUAUGAAUGUUUAAUUUUAUUCAGCAUGUGAUCGGAAAUGCACCUUUAGAAGUGUAUACAACUUAUAUAUACAUACUAGCUCUGUUGAAUUAUCACUCGUCAGUUGUCCUACAAAUGGAUUUAAAAUAAUUAUUCAUUGGAUUAAAUAUGUAGGUACCUAAUUGAUCUGUGUAAAAUAUAAUUACUUUUCGUAUCAACCUUGAAA